AAUAUCUUGAAAGUGGCGAACGGGUGAGUAACACGUAGGUAACCUGCCUCGGAGUGGGGGAUAACAGUUAGAAAUGACUGCUAAUACCGCAUGAAUCCAUGGAUUAGGGAUAAUCGAUGGAGAAAACUCUGGUGCUUCGAGAGGGGCCUGCGGCCGAUUAGCUAGUUGGUGGGGUAAAGGCCUACCAAGGCGACGAUCGGUAGCUGGUCUGAGAGGACGAUCAGCCACACGGGAACUGAGACACGGUCCCGACUCCUACGGGGGGCAGCAGUGAGGAAUAUUGGGCAAUGGGCGGAAGCCUGACCCAGCAACGCCCGCGUGGAGGAAUGAAGGCCUUCGGGUUGUAAACUCCUUUUGCAGGGGAAGAGGAAGGACGGUACCCUGCGAAUAAGUCACGGCUAACUACGUG
Molecule: ribosomal RNA, 409 nt
Filed under: uncultured bacterium
Lineage: Bacteria
Description: bacterial SSU rRNA
Rfam family: Bacterial small subunit ribosomal RNA
Source: RNAcentral